Molecule: long non-coding RNA, 292 nt
Organism: Pogonomyrmex barbatus (red harvester ant)
Lineage: Eukaryota; Metazoa; Arthropoda; Insecta; Hymenoptera; Formicidae
Source: RefSeq, a predicted model, not a curated record
GUCCAAAUCUAGCCAGAAGCUGAACCACGAGAGCAUCACCACCAGCGUCGACGGGGCGAACGUUUGUAUCAAGUGGUGACCGAUCUGUCUCUCGAAGCGAAAGAAAACUACCAGCCGUGAGAAAUUUCCUGUGAAAAUCAAAUAUUGUUGUCUGGGAAAGUAAGAGUUUAGGAUGAUUCGUUCCAAUGACGUUGGACAAAAAAAAUCGAGCUUUGAUGUCGACAUGCACUUUUGCAACAAAGGAAAAGAGUAUAUUGAAUAUUAAAUUUCAAUUGUUGAUGCGUACCAUUUU